RNAcentral lists this ribosomal RNA (497 nucleotides) under uncultured bacterium. RNAcentral describes it as "partial 16S ribosomal RNA". It matches the Rfam family "Bacterial small subunit ribosomal RNA", at positions 28 to 507 of the family's 1533-position model. The record is from RNAcentral.
GACGAACGCUGGCGGCGUGCCUAAUACAUGCAAGUUGAGCGAUGAAGAUUGGUGCUUGCACCAAUUUGAAGAGCAGCGAACGGGUGAGUAACGCGUGGGGAAUCUGCCUUUGAGCGGGGGACAACAUUUGGAAACGAAUGCUAAUACCGCAUAACAACUUUAAACAUAAGUUUUAAGUUUGAAAGAUGCAAUUGCAUCACUCAAAGAUGAUCCCGCGUUGUAUUAGCUAGUUGGUGAGGUAAAGGCUCACCAAGGCGAUGAUACAUAGCCGACCUGAGAGGGUGAUCGGCCACAUUGGGACUGAGACACGGCCCAAACUCCUACGGGAGGCAGCCGUAGGGAAUCUUCGGCAAUGGACGAAAGUCUGACCGAGCAACGCCGCGUGAGUGAAGAAGGUUUUCGGAUCGUAAAACUCUGUUGGUAGAGAAGAACGUUGGUGAGAGUGGAAAGCUCAUCAAGUGACGGUAACUACCCAGAAAGGGACGGCUAACUACGUG